CAGCAGUAGCCGCGGUAAAACGAAGGGGGCUAGCGUUGUUCGGAUUUACUGGGCGUAAAGCGCACGUAGGCGGACUUUUAAGUCAGGGGUGAAAUCCCGGGGGUCAACCCCGGAACUGCCUUUGAUACUGGAAGUCUUGAGUAUGGUAGAGGUGAGUGGAAUUCCGAGUGUAGAGGUGAAAUUCGUAGAUAUUCGGAGGAACACCAGUGGCGAAGGCGGCUCACUGGACCAUUACUGACGCUGAGGUGCGAAAGCGUGGGGAGCAAACAGGAUUAGAUACCCCGGUAGUCCCUGUCUCUUAUAA
This 304-nucleotide ribosomal RNA is filed under the name uncultured bacterium. RNAcentral describes it as "partial 16S ribosomal RNA". It matches the Rfam family "Bacterial small subunit ribosomal RNA", at positions 506 to 809 of the family's 1533-position model. The record is from RNAcentral.